This 599-nucleotide ribosomal RNA is filed under the name Salinibacterium amurskyense. RNAcentral's name for it is "bacterial SSU rRNA". It matches the Rfam family "Bacterial small subunit ribosomal RNA", at positions 85 to 682 of the family's 1533-position model. RNAcentral also lists the same sequence under 1 other name. Lineage: Bacteria; Bacillati; Actinomycetota; Actinomycetes; Micrococcales; Microbacteriaceae. The record is from RNAcentral.
CAGGCGUCGAGCGGCGGACGGGUGAGUAAUACUUAGGAAUCUACCUAGUAGUGGGGGAUAGCUCGGGGAAACUCGAAUUAAUACCGCAUACGACCUACGGGAGAAAGGGGGCAGUUUACUGCUCUCGCUAUUAGAUGAGCCUAAGUCGGAUUAGCUAGAUGGUGGGGUAAAGGCCUACCAUGGCGACGAUCUGUAGCUGGUCUGAGAGGAUGAUCAGCCACACCGGGACUGAGACACGGCCCGGACUCCUACGGGAGGCAGCAGUGGGGAAUAUUGGACAAUGGGGGAAACCCUGAUCCAGCCAUGCCGCGUGUGUGAAGAAGGCCUUUUGGUUGUAAAGCACUUUAAGCAGUGAAGAAGACUCCGUGGUUAAUACCCACGGACGAUGACAUUAGCUGCAGAAUAAGCACCGGCUAACUCUGUGCCAGCAGCCGCGGUAAUACAGAGGGUGCAAGCGUUAAUCGGAAUUACUGGGCGUAAAGGGAGCGUAGGUGGCUCGAUAAGUCAGAUGUGAAAUCCCCGGGCUCAACCUGGGAACUGCAUCUGAUACUGUUGAGCUAGAGUAUGUGAGAGGAAGGUAGAAUUCCAGGUGUAGCGGU